This 680-nucleotide long non-coding RNA is filed under the name Lathyrus oleraceus (garden pea). RNAcentral describes it as "Pisum sativum (pea) long non-coding RNA (PSAT_LNC011519)". Lineage: Eukaryota; Viridiplantae; Streptophyta; Magnoliopsida; Fabales; Fabaceae. The record is from RNAcentral.
UUGGCUUGGGUUAGGGUGUGGAUAUUCAAACAAAAACGGGAAACAAGUGGUUUUUUGGUUCAGAGUUGAUGUUGCCAACUAUGUUUGUUUCUUUUGUUUUUCCACUUGAUUUCCUCUUUUUUUUCUUCUAUUUUUCCUUUGAGUGCCCUAUUUCGUGCUUCUUUUGAAUCUUCGAGUUAUAACUUUAUCUUUUUUUCUUUUCUCUCGAUGAUUUCCUAUUUUUCUUUUUUUCGUUUUGUUUUCACACUUUCUUGGGCUUUGGGAGCUCUUGGGGUUUUUACACCAAACUUAGCUUUUCAACACAGUUUAAAUGUAUUAACAUGACUCUGAAAAGGGUAAGGAAGUGUUUUGGCCAAGGGGUACAUUUAUGGGGUUUAAAAAAGUAAAUGGAUACAGGCUCAAAUGGGGUUAACAAGGGAUAUAAUUAUUUAGGAUGGCUAGAAAGGCUUGGGGUUAAUUUCAAACAAUGUGCCUCAGUGUGUGUAAUCAUGCAGUGACAGUUCCAGAGAAUCUACGCAAAUUUAGAGUGAUAAAGACAAACCUGAAUAUCGCUCAUGAUGAUCAAUGUGUUUGGCUUUAUAUGACUCACCCUAUUUGGUUAAGCUUUGACCGUAUCCACAGUAGUCUUUAGCCCGGUGUGAUUUCUUCCUUACUUCAGAAUCUACAUGACACUUAUGUUG